UGGGGGAUAUUGCACAAUGGGCGAAAGCCUGAUGCAGCGACGCCGCGUGGGGGAUGAAGGCCUUCGGGUUGUAAACUUCUUUUGCUCUGAACAAGGCGCACCAUGGGGUGUGUUGAGUGUAGGGGUUGAUUAGCGCCGGCUAACUACGUGCCAGCAGCCGCGGUAAUACGUAGGGCGCGAGCGUUGUCCGGAAUUAUUGGGCGUAAAGGGCUUGUAGGUGGCUGUUGCGUCUGUCGUGAAAGCUCAUGGCUUAACUGUGGGUUUGCGGUGGGUACGGGCUGGCUUGAGUGCAGUAGGGGAGGCUGGAAUUCCUGGUGUAGCGGUGGAAUGCGCAGAUAUCAGGAGGAAUACCGGUGGCGAAGGCGGGUCUCUGGGCUGUUACUGACACUGAGGAGCGAAAGCAUGGGGAGCGAACAGG
This 418-nucleotide ribosomal RNA is filed under the name bacterium. RNAcentral describes it as "partial 16S ribosomal RNA". It matches the Rfam family "Bacterial small subunit ribosomal RNA", at positions 355 to 776 of the family's 1533-position model. The record is from RNAcentral.